RNAcentral lists this ribosomal RNA (253 nucleotides) under uncultured bacterium. Its description in RNAcentral is "partial 16S ribosomal RNA". It matches the Rfam family "Bacterial small subunit ribosomal RNA", at positions 524 to 776 of the family's 1533-position model. The record is from RNAcentral.
UACAGAGGUCUCAAGCGUUGUUCGGAUUCAUUGGGCGUAAAGGGUGCGCAGGCUGCGGGGUAAGUCGGAUGUGAAAUUUAGGGGCUCAACCCCUAAACUGCAUUCGAUACUGCUCUGCUAGAGGACUGUAGAGGAGAUUGGAAUUCACGGUGUAGCAGUGAAAUGCGUAGAUAUCGUGAGGAAGACCAGUGGCGAAGGCGAAUCUCUGGGCAGUUCCUGACGCUCAUGCACGAAGGCCAGGGGAGCAAACGGG